ACACAGUUGCGUGAGGGGUUUCUGCCAUCAUCAGUGCUGUGUAGCAGAGCUAGUUCCUCUCCCUCUCAGCCGCGCAGGUUUGGACAUAUUUGACUUUUCCCCCCAGGUUGAAUUGACCAAAGCAAUGGUGAUGGAGAAGCCUACUCCCCUGCUGGUUGGGUGGAAAUUUGUGAGACAGCAUUACGCACUGGUGAACCAGGCCCUAGACAUGCUGCAUAGAUUUUAUGGAAAGAACUCUUCUCAUGUCCAUGGGGGAUUGGAUUCAAAUGGAAAGCCAGCAGAUGCAGUCUUUGACAGAAAGAAAUCCACAGGAAAGUGAUGUCACAAAACUUCACCAACUGCCACACCAAGAUUCUCCAUGUUGAUGCUUAUGCUAUGCUAAAUGAUGGUGUGGUAGUCCAGGUGAUGGUGCUUCUCUCUAACAACAACCAGGCUUUGAGGAGAUUCAUGCAGAUGUUUGUACUUGCUCCUGAGGGGUCUAUUGCAUAUCAGUUCUAUGUUCAUAAUGAUAUCCUCAGACACCAAGAUGGGUUUGUCACUGAGCCUCAGGAGGAGUCUGAAGAAGAAGUAGAGGAACCUGAAGAAAGACAGCAAUCACCUCUGAUUCUGGAACUUUCUAUGAUCAGGCAAUUGUCAGUAAUGACAUGGAAGAACAUUUAGAGGAGCCAGUUGCUGAACUGGAGCCUGAUCCUGAACCAGAACCAGAACAAGAACAUGUAUCUGAAAUCCAAGAGGAAAAGUUUGAGCUUGUAUUAGAAGAAACUGCUCCUGAGGAUGCUCAGAAGAGUUCUCUAGCACCUGCAGACAUAUCUCAGACAGUAUAGGAAGACUUGAGGACAUUUUCUUGGGCAUCUGUGACCAGUAACAACCUUCCACCCAGUGGAGCUGUUCCAGUUACUGGGAUACCUCCUCAUGUUUGCAAAGUACUAGCUUCACAGCCCUGUACAGAGUCUAAGCCUGAAUCUCAGGUUCCACCACAGAGACCUCAAAGGGAUCAAAGAAUACGAGAACAACGAAUAAAUAUUCCUCUCCAAAAGGGACCCAGACCAAUCUGUGAGGCUGGUGAGCAAGGUGACAUUGAACCCCGAAGAAUGGUGAGACACCCUGACAGUCACCAACUCUUCAUUGGCAACCUGCCUCAUAAAGUAGACAAAUCAGAGCUUAAAGAUUUCUUUCAAAAUUAUGGGAACAUGGUGGAGUUGCACAUUAACAGUGGUGGGAAAUUACCCAAUUUUGAUUUUGUUAUGUUUGAUGAUUCUGAGCCUGUUCAGAAGGUCCUUAGCAACAGGUCCAUCAUGUUCAGAGGUGAGGUCCGUCUCAUUGUGGAAGAGAAGAAGACUCGAGCUGCCAGGGAAGGGGACCCACGAGAUGAUCGCCUUUGUGGACCUGGAGGCCCUUUAGGUGGGCUGGGUGGUGGAAUGAGAGGCCCUCCCUGUGGAGGCAUGGUACAGAAAGCAGGAUUUGGAGUGGGAAGGUGGCUUGCUCCACGGCAGUGAAUCUUCAUGGAUCUUCAGGGGGCCGUAUGAACCCUAGUUCCUACAGAAUGGUGAAUUUCUUCGACCAGCCUUUGGUAUCUUGGAGUAUGACCCCAGUUUGUUAUAAACUGCUUUAGUUAGUAUAAUUUUACUUCUUUUGUGUGUUAAUGGUGUGUGCUCCUUCUCCCUCUCUUCCCUUUCCUGGCCUUUAGUCUUUCACUUCCAAUUUUGUGGAAUGAUAUUUUAGGAGUAAUGGAUUUUUAAAGAAGAAGAAGAAGAAGAAGAAGAAAAAAAGACCAAAUUUCCUUGCUUAUUUUGCAUGUACAGACUGGAUUUUUUUUCUAACAGCCAUUUCCCCAAAGGAAUGUGUCUUGCGUUAUUGCUGACAUUUGGUACAUUUCAUUCAUUGGAAUAUUUCUUACUUUCUGUGUUUUCAAAAGCCUGUGAGAAAUACAGGAUUUGAUAACAUUUUGAAGGCAGGAAAACCCCAAACUGUUUCUUCUUUGAGAGUCAUGACCACUUUCUGGUGUGGAGAAAUCGCCAUUGGAAAAUUUGA
This is an RNA transcript of Mandrillus leucophaeus (drill), 2031 nucleotides long. It is a transcript of the gene named ras GTPase-activating protein-binding protein 1 pseudogene, with no coding region annotated. The record is from RefSeq and is a predicted model, not a curated record. Lineage: Eukaryota; Metazoa; Chordata; Mammalia; Primates; Cercopithecidae. The transcript has a single exon.